This 480-nucleotide ribosomal RNA is filed under the name Acinetobacter sp. RNAcentral describes it as "bacterial SSU rRNA". It matches the Rfam family "Bacterial small subunit ribosomal RNA", at positions 384 to 856 of the family's 1533-position model. The record is from RNAcentral. Lineage: Bacteria; Pseudomonadati; Pseudomonadota; Gammaproteobacteria; Moraxellales; Moraxellaceae.
UGAUCAGCCAUGCCGCGUGUGUGAAGAAGGCCUUUUGGUUGUAAAGCACUUUAAGCGAGGAGGAGGCUACCGAGAUUAAUACUCUUGGAUAGUGGACGUUACUCGCAGAAUAAGCACCGGCUAACUCUGUGCCAGCAGCCGCGGUAAUACAGAGGGUGCAAGCGUUAAUCGGAUUUACUGGGCGUAAAGCGCGCGUAGGUGGCCAAUUAAGUCAAAUGUGAAAUCCCCGAGCUUAACUUGGGAAUUGCAUUCGAUACUGGUUGGCUAGAGUAUGGGAGAGGAUGGUAGAAUUCCAGGUGUAGCGGUGAAAUGCGUAGAGAUCUGGAGGAAUACCGAUGGCGAAGGCAGCCAUCUGGCCUAAUACUGACACUGAGGUGCGAAAGCAUGGGGAGCAAACAGGAUUAGAUACCCUGGUAGUCCAUGCCGUAAACGAUGUCUACUAGCCGUUGGGGCCUUUGAGGCUUUAGUGGCGCAGCUAAC